UACGGAGGAUGCGAGCGUUAUCCGGAUUUAUUGGGUUUAAAGGGUGCGUAGGCGGAUUUUUAAGUCAGCGGUAAAAUGUCCGGGCUCAACCCGGGCCGGCCGUUGAAACUGGGGACCUUGAGUGGGCGAGAAGUAUGCGGAAUGCGUGGUGUAGCGGUGAAAUGCAUAGAUAUCACGCAGAACUCCGAUUGCGAAGGCAGCAUACCGGCGCCCGACUGACGCUGAGGCACGAAAGCGUGGGGAUCGAACAGG
This 252-nucleotide ribosomal RNA is filed under the name uncultured bacterium. RNAcentral describes it as "partial 16S ribosomal RNA". It matches the Rfam family "Bacterial small subunit ribosomal RNA", at positions 524 to 776 of the family's 1533-position model. The record is from RNAcentral.